Molecule: ribosomal RNA, 564 nt
Filed under: Penicillium oxalicum
Lineage: Eukaryota; Fungi; Ascomycota; Eurotiomycetes; Eurotiales; Aspergillaceae
Description: eukaryotic LSU rRNA
Rfam family: 5.8S ribosomal RNA (bases 181-334)
Source: RNAcentral
GGGGGACAUUGCAAGAGGCUCUGGGUCACCUCCCACCCGUGUUUAUCGUACCUUGUUGCUUCGGCGGGCCCGCCUCACGGCCGCCGGGGGGCAUCCGCCCCCGGGCCCGCGCCCGCCGAAGACACACAAACGAACUCUUGUCUGAAGAUUGCAGUCUGAGUACUUGACUAAAUCAGUUAAAACUUUCAACAACGGAUCUCUUGGUUCCGGCAUCGAUGAAGAACGCAGCGAAAUGCGAUAAGUAAUGUGAAUUGCAGAAUUCAGUGAAUCAUCGAGUCUUUGAACGCACAUUGCGCCCCCUGGUAUUCCGGGGGGCAUGCCUGUCCGAGCGUCAUUGCUGCCCUCAAGCACGGCUUGUGUGUUGGGCUCUCGCCCCCCGCUUCCGGGGGGCGGGCCCGAAAGGCAGCGGCGGCACCGCGUCCGGUCCUCGAGCGUAUGGGGCUUCGUCACCCGCUCUGUAGGCCCGGCCGGCGCCCGCCGGCGAACACCAUCAAUCUUAACCAGGUUGACCUCGGAUCAGGUAGGGAUACCCGCUGAACUUAAGCAUAUCAAUAAGCGGAGGAA